AAGAUAGCCCUCUCCCCAACCGCCGUUCUCUCUCUGCGCCGUAAGUAGAAAACUAACCCCAUUGCGCAUGGCCUCACUAGUUCUGAAAGUCUUGCCAGCAGCUGCCAAUCCUCCUAGCGCAAACCAGUCGGCAAGUUAGGACCGCUGAUCGUGAGAGAGCGACUGAGGACUUGGGAGUCCGUUAGGACCACAAGAGCUUCUUUCAUCAUAUUAAUGGCAUUCAUAUAAUGGACGUUACCUCAAUACCUCACUACUCCAAGAUAUUUGGGUUCCGUUAAACAGCCAACCCAGACUCGGAAAAGGAUAUGAGGUAGCCCAUCGCGGCGGGCCGCUAACCCCUCAUUCCCUCAAUAGGACGAACGACGACUCCUGCCGUAGGAGAUUACGAAUUGGGCUGUCCACACACCGACACACGUGGAAUAAUCGAUCGACUUGUGCAGGUUAAACUGAAGAAAAGAAUGAUUUGGAGUUUAAGUCACGCAGGAUUGAAAGGAUGCUGGCCAUCCUGAUCUUCCAAAAUUGUCUCUGCUUUGCGUCAACUUCACAGAUUAAACUGUACCUUCUCAGAAGGAAUUAGCAGGCAAGCCUUAUACCAUUGGAAAGAUACGGAUGUUAGCUUUCUAAAGAAUUUUACGGAAGUGGAUUCGCAUUUUUCUGGAGGAAGUUAUGAUGAUUUAAGUGAACCUAGUUCAGGAAGGCAGAUUCUGACGGAUUUUCGGAAUCUGACUUGUGAGGCCCAAGUCCGCUGCUCUUAGCACUUGAAUGGAACAAGGCUGAACGUGAUUGACAUAUUUGGAGUAAUUUCUUGCAUUGACUUUAAUAACCCUGCGUUCCUUUGGAGAGAAGAAAGCUAUUCCAAGUUGGACUAGAAAACCGAAGAAGCCCAAGUCAAGUAGGAUUGAAAAAGAGACAUAUUCUGCAGAAAACCUAGCACGUUUGGAGAGACAGAAUACACAGCAUAUUCUGCAGAGAACGAGAAGAAGAGAAGCUCUCACCAUC
Molecule: long non-coding RNA, 999 nt
Organism: Rosa chinensis
Lineage: Eukaryota; Viridiplantae; Streptophyta; Magnoliopsida; Rosales; Rosaceae
Exons: 4
Source: RefSeq, a predicted model, not a curated record